CACAUCUGCCAGGAAGCAGUCCCAUCAGCCACAUGCCUUCAAAACUAGGAUUCCUGACUACUAAUCCUCUUUUUCAGCUAAACAAUUCAAAGCAUUCCAGGUUUCAGCCACACACACCAAAUUCCUGUGCAUGUCUACUUGGAAGCAAGUCCCACAAAGUUCAGCAGGACUUACUCCUCAUAAGCGUGUGCUUAGAACUGCAAUUGUAGCCUGUGCACAGGUGAUCACACCCUUAGACCCCAGCUUCAGUUUGUUGAGGAUGCAGUAUGAAGUCCUACUGGAUCAUGAACCAUGAUGGAAAAGGAAAAUGGAUGCAUGUAUUUCAGUCUGUUACAGCUCUACAUAACUGUCUCUGAGAAUGCUUACAGACAAGUAUGAAAUGAGGUACCUGACUUCUAAGACAGUUAAUGAAGGAAGACUGAAGUGAGAGCCCUGCUAUAAACUAUGGUCUAUUGAAGAGCAAGAAACAUCUUCCCUGCAUUUGGUGCUGUAAGAUAAGGCUGUGUUUCAUUUACCUCUAGCCAUGUGAUUUGCCUCAAGUCCAGAGGUGCCAGCAGGAUUUCCUGAGCCAAGUUCACUGCAUGUCGAUUAGUCCCCCCCACACACACACUCUGUGCAAUGGACUGCCUACCCCCCAACCCAGUGGGCAGAGGAUGCCAAGCAGCUUUUUCUGCCACUCCCUCGUCUCCAUCCCAGACUUCUUUUUCAAGCUACAAUGUGCACCAAGCAGAUAUUUCCACCUCCCUAGCCCAGAUCACCUGCUGGUGCGGCGGAGAAAUGACUUGACUAUCAAGCCCGAGGUUGCUGGUUCGAAUCCUGGCUGGUAUGUUUCCCAGACUAUGGGAAAUUCCUAUAUUGGGCAGCAGCAAUAUAGGAAGAUGCUGAAAGGCAUUAUCUCAUACUGCACAGGAGAUGGCAAUGGUAAACCCCUCCUGUAUUCUACCAAAGACAACCACAGGGCUAUGUGGUCACCUGGAGUCGACACUGACUUGACGGCACACUUUACCUCAGCCCAGAUCACCUGACUGCCCACCCUCCCUUCCUCCAUCCUUCCUUCCCUCCUUCCCAUCUCAGAGGGGCCUGGCUAUUUCAGCAAUGCCCCCUUCUUCCCCACCAGCGUCCCACUCUUUCUUUGAAAAGGAGCACUGGAGCAGAACUGUGUUCCGGUCAGUACAAGGCUGGCCUCCACAGAGAUGCUCCAGGCCACCACUCUACCGGCUUCUUUGCAGUGGAGGCAACAAGGAGGAGAGGCACAGGCGGGGGCUGUCUCCAGGCCUGUUACAGAACGUUCUAUUCUCCCUGCCUGUCAGCAGGCCUGUUCAAGCCUUUCCUCCCUUAUUUGGCACCGCUGAAGACCCAAACAUGCUGGAGACAAACAGCAGAGAUGCCCAUCACCUUCAUCCCCAGCUUAUGCACUUGUGAGGACAUGAGGCUGACUGCUGCUCGAGACACAAUGUUGGCCUUUGUGGCCAGGGAUGACAGGAAAUGUAGUCCAACCACAUCUGGGAAUUCAAGAUUGGGGAUUCCUGAACUAGAUAAACCUUUGGUUGAUCCUGUGAGGCAAUUCUUACAUGCAUAAAUCUACCCUGAAAGCCUCCUUUUAUUGCUGCCAUGAGUUUUCUCCUCCCAGCCACUUUAUCACUGCUGCUGAAGGCAACUUCACAUCUUAACGUGAAGACAAAUGCAUGUGUGCCACUGUUAUACAUAUGGCUGAAAUGAUGUGUUUGUCCCCUAGCAAACGUUGCAUUUUUGAUGUCUGUCUUUAAGAGACCGUGGUUUGCAUCCCAACUAGCACUCACACAACACUGUAAGCACAAGGGAUCUUCCACCGAAAGAAUCCCCAAAUACCGGUAAUGUGGCCAGUCUUUGCUGUGCUUGAUCUAACUGUAGUGACACAAGUCUCUUUUCAAUCCAAAUCCCAGCCCAUGAAUUCUGUGCUGGCAUGGUGAGACACCAGAUUUAGUGUCCCUGGUCUUCUUUGAGGGAAUGGCACUCAGAAGGGUAGAAGGGAAGCCCUGAAACAAAUUAAACGCUCUGGUAACCUCUCGCUUAGAUUACUGCAAUGCGUUGUAUGUGGGGCUGCCUUUGAAAACUGUCUGGAAACUGCAGUUGGUACAAAAUAGGACUGCAAGAUUAUUAACUGGGACUGGACAUUUUGAUCAUAUUACACCAGUGCUGUGUCAGCUGCACUGGCUCCCAGUCCGUUUCUGGGCCCAAUUCAUAGCACUGGUUCUAACCUUUAAAGCCCUAAAUGGCCUAGGACCGAAUUACUUGAGAGAGCACCUUGCCCCAUAUGUCUCUACCCGUUCCUUAAGAUCUUCAGAAGCUGUCCUCAGAGUGCCCCUGCCAAACAAGGUGAGGCGGGUGGCUACCAGGGAGGGGGCCUUUUUGGUGGUUGCACCCCAUUUAUGGAAUAGCCUCCCCAGUGAGGUUCGCCUGAAUUUUGUAUUUUGUUUUCACCUUUUUUUUUGGUCUAUUAUGAUAUAAUGUGUUAUGUGUGAUGUGUUUUUAUUGUAUGUAUUAAUCCUCUGUUGUGAGCCUCCCAGAGAACAAUUUGUUAUGGGGAGGCUAACAAAUAAAGUUUAUUAUUUAUUGUAUU
This is a long non-coding RNA of Hemicordylus capensis (graceful crag lizard), 2599 nucleotides long. RefSeq lists it as uncharacterized. NCBI's taxonomy places the organism in Eukaryota, Metazoa, Chordata, Lepidosauria, Squamata, Cordylidae. The record is from RefSeq and is a predicted model, not a curated record. The transcript has 3 exons.